This is a long non-coding RNA of Cyprinus carpio (common carp), 1025 nucleotides long. RefSeq lists it as uncharacterized. The record is from RefSeq and is a predicted model, not a curated record. The transcript has 5 exons. NCBI's taxonomy places the organism in Eukaryota, Metazoa, Chordata, Actinopteri, Cypriniformes, Cyprinidae.
UUAUUUGUGGCUAACCCCUCUGUCUUUCCUGACUAAAUUACCCACACUAAAGACUUCAAAGGCUCUUUGUUUUACUGUGUGAUGUCUUUGUUGCAUUCCAGGUGACAUACAUAGAAAUACACAAGUUAAAUCAAAAGAAAAAUAAAAAUAUAUAAAAACCCACCCAAUGUCUAAGAAAGUAAAUAAGAAAGAGUAAAAUAUAAAUUUUUCUACAACACGGUCUUUCUUUCGGCGGAGACAAAGUCAUAGCACGUAACAGGGCAGUAAAAUCAGCAGUGUAAUAUUUGCAGUGUUAAAAGUUAUUAAAUCCCAAAGAUUUGAAUUAACAAUCCACAGUGUUAAACAGUACUCGUGUUCAGUGUUGUUAUAUGGUGUAAUUUCACUUUUACACUACAAGUGCGAAAUAAAAGACCCGCCGAAUUGUCUGGACUCCGCCCUUCAGUGACUGCUGCUUCGCGAAGCGACAACGCCAUCUUUUCUUCGAGCGACCGAGACGUUGGUCGUCCUCUCGCCUCUGUUCCCUCCUCGGCCUGGGGUUACUGCGAAUCUGGCGAUGAAGACUGAAGCUGCUAACGUUAUAUUCGAAGCCUCAGAAGACCUUCAAGGAUCCAGCUGACCUCUGAAUCAGCUGUUAAGAAAAUGGGACAGUUAUAUUGCUUCAAUUGGUCUCCUACUUCAUUUGAUUCCACCAUCAUUACAAGGCUGCAAGGGAUCUGGAAAAAUGUCAUCCUGUCAAGCUGAAAAACAUCUUCAGAAAGGCACCAACAAGAACAGCUUGAUUGCAGAGAAGAGACCACACAGCCAUACACGCUCACUGAUGGGACAUCAUUCAUGGAUGCUACACAACUCAAAUCUACACGUCAUAUUUGUUCAUGUCUAGGUAAAUUUGAUGAUUUUGUGUUUUAUUAACUACUUUGUUUCUGUGCAACACUUAAUGAAUGUGACUGACUAAUUAACCUCUACACAUCUGCUAUAUGCUUUAAAGUUGCCACUUUGCCCAUUUGUUCAAUAAAUGUUGAAAUGUA